CCUACGGGUGGCUGCAGUGGGGAAUUUUGGACAAUGGGCGCAAGCCUGAUCCAGCCAUUCCGCGUGAGUGAAGAAGGCCUUCGGGUUGUAAUGCUCUUUCGCAAGGGAAGAAAACUUAUCCUCUAACAUAGGAUGAGGUUGACGGUACCUUGAUAAGAAGCACCGGCUAACUACGUGCCAGCAGCCGCGGUAAUACGUAGGGUAUGACCGGGAAUCGGAAUUACUGGGCGUGUUUCGUACGUCAGAUGUUAAAUCCCCGAGCUCAACUUGGGAACUGCGUUUGAAACUACAAGACUAGAAUAGGUCAGAGGGGGGUAGAAUUCCACGUGUAGCAGUGAAAUGCGUAGAGAUGUGGAGGAAUAUCAAUGGCGAAGGCAGCCCCCUGGGAUCAUAUUGACGCUCAUGCACGAAAGCGUGGGGAGCAAACAGGAUUAGAUACCCUGGUAGUC
RNAcentral lists this ribosomal RNA (449 nucleotides) under uncultured bacterium. RNAcentral's name for it is "partial 16S ribosomal RNA". It matches the Rfam family "Bacterial small subunit ribosomal RNA", at positions 338 to 795 of the family's 1533-position model. The record is from RNAcentral.